Molecule: long non-coding RNA, 3344 nt
Organism: Populus trichocarpa (black cottonwood)
Lineage: Eukaryota; Viridiplantae; Streptophyta; Magnoliopsida; Malpighiales; Salicaceae
Exons: 2
Source: RefSeq, a predicted model, not a curated record
GCAACCCUUGGUAUUUUAAUCAUGCUAUGUUGUCGUUUUGGUAGCUCAUUACGAUGUCGUAGAGGAUAUCUUCUUGUAAAUGGUGGAAGUUUAUUGGUGAUCAGGUUUAUUCAAAACCAAUUUGUUACCAUUAUAAGCGCACUCACAGGAAGAGAUUGUCAACAGCAUAAAAAUAACAACUAACUUCUCCCUCCCUCUGUAUUUCUUUCAUUUUCUAAAUAGCUAAAUGGCUAGUCUUCGUUGUUUUUCGCUACAAGUGGUAUCGAAGCGGCGGUCCUGCCACUGCCGCUUCACAACCAUGGCGGAUAACGGCAGCUCUACAAGAGUAAGCUAAACAACUUGAGUCUCGUUUCUCUCGCGUUGAAGCUUUUAGCUAGGUCAAAUCAACGAGGGGCUCAAGAAACAUACUGGAGGGACUGAGACCAAACUUGCUGAGCUGAAACAGAAGCUUGGUUUGUUACUGCGCUAAAAAGGGUUAAAUGUGGUGGAAACAGUACAGAUUGGCCUGAAAUUCAAUCCUUCUGGCCCUGUCAAUUGGGGUUCACCGCUACACCACGUUUCCCCACAAGAACCUGGGUUAGAAAAUGUCGCAAAUGCUUACAGAUUUACCAAAUUCCAGAGGAACAGGAGUAAGCUGCUAUGUUCUUGGAGGGGAAGGAAAGCAUUUGGUUUCAGGGCUUUAACCACACCAUCUACCCAUCGAGGCUCUCCAUCCUUUUAUCACCACCUCCCAAUCGAAGCUCUCACACAACAACCCAAACCAGUACCCAUAAUCAUAGCACUUGGAACAAACCACCAUUUCCUCAUUUUUCCACUCAGAAACCCUAAUGUUUCAAGUGCGGUAUCCAUAUUUUCCUGUCAUCAAUGCAAAGGGAAGGAUUUAAAUAGUCUUGAGUCUUAGGAAGACAUGGUAGAGGAGUUUGAGAAUGGAGAGUUAGCGGAUGGUUUGAUUGAGAUUGACGAGUAGGUCGUGGAGGAGUAUGGGUUGUCAGUGAAUGCAAUUCCUGGGAGCAUCACUUGCAACACUAUUCUAAUUAAAGGGGAAACUGAUAAACUACCAUUAGCCAUCCUAAUUGACAGUGGAAGCGCGCACGGUUUUGUAGAUGUCAAUAGAAUUCCAAUUCUCAUUGUCGGGGGAAGUGAAUAAAAAAAUGACAAACCACUACCGCUGUUCCUCUCAGUGUAAUAGUAGCUGAAGGUAGUGUGAUUCAGUGUAGAGCCAAAUGUCCAAAUUCUGAAUGACAUAUUUUUUUUACUAAUCCGCUAGUUCUGCAGUCAGGGGGCAAUGACACGGUGCUUGGGGCUGAUUAGAUGAAGGCAUGCAACCCAAUUUUGUCUGAUUUCUUGAAGAUGAGCUUGACCUUCUAGAAGGACGGGCAGGAAAUAGUUCUUAAGGGAAUUAUUGGUAAUCAGGGGUUGAAUUAAAAAUGCUUAUCGCAGAGUAAGUAGAAAAGGCUCUGUACCAGCAUGUCUAUGGACUGGUGGCUCAAUUGUUUGCUAUCCAUGGGCAAGAACAGAAGCUUGAGGAGAUUCAGCCUGUGGUGCAUGAUUUGUCACUGGAAUUUGAUGCAAUCUUCGCUGAACCUACUCAGCUACCACCAAGCAGGGAGUGUGAUCACUGGAUUCCACUGGAAGAAGGCACCAAACCAGUCAAUCCUUGACCAUAUAGACAUUCCCAUGGCAAAAAGGAUGUGAUAGAGAAACUGGUUAAGAAAAUGCUAGAUUCCUCCAUAAUUCAAGUGAGUCACAGCCCUUUCUCUUCACCAGUACUACUGGUACAGAAGAAAGACAACACUUGGAGAUUCUGUGAGUUAUACAGUGAUGAAUGGUUUUCCAAGAUCGAUUUAUGAGCUGGAUAUCAAAAACACAUAGCACUCUCAAUUUAUGAGAAAGAGUUCUUGGCUAUAUUGCUAGCAGUUCAGAAAUGGAAGUACUACUUGGAGAGUAAGAAAUUUAUUAUCAAGAGAGCUUGAAAUACAUGUUAGAGCAGCGCAUCAACACUUCUAUCCAAAAGAAAGGGCUCAAGAAAUUGUAGGGGAUCCAAUAUGAGAUUCAUAACACCUAUAAGAGAGUGAAGAAUUCUUUUUUGUUGGCCUAAAUUGAAAGAUAGUGUAAAGAGAGUGGUGGAAGAAUGUGAUCCAUGUGCCAGAAACAAAAGUGAGAUUGUAGCAUACCCCGGGUUGCUGCAACCUCUACCCACUCCUCCUCGUUCUUGGAGUGACAUCACUAUGGACUUCAUUGAAGGAGGUGGUUGGCAGGUUCAUAUAAUAUACCCAUUUUCUUACUCUGAGUCAUCCUUUUACAGCUUUGAAUAUGGCCAAAUUUUUUUCAAGCAUGUUUAUAAAUUGCAUGGUGUUCCAGCUCGCAAGUGACUGACAGCGAUAGGUUACUCGUUACCUUGUUUUGGAGAGAAUUUUUGAGACUAAUGGGCACUGAGUCGCGUUCUAGUUCAACACAUCACCCAGUCAGAUGGGCAGACAAAAAAGUUGAAUAGAAGUUUACCAACUUUUUGGAGGUGCAUGACUUUCCAGGGGUAUAAACAGUGGCGCAAAUGGAUUUCUUUGGCUGAAUUUCGGUACAAUAGCAAUUUUCAUUCAGAAAUUGAGAUGACUACCAAGCUCUGUAUGGGAUACCCCAACCAGUGGCCAGUUUUGCUGAAUUGUUGCAAGAGAAAACUCAGAUGGUGGCAUUGCUCAAGGAAAAUUUGUAGAAGACUCGAAAUUGGAUGAAACAACAAGCUAACAAGGGCAAAACUGCGCGCAAUUUUUGUGGGGGUGGCCACGUUUACCUCAAGCUGUAACCUUUGAGACAAAUUUCAGUAUCCUUGCAGAAAGAACCUCUUUAGGGUCUUAAAUCCAUCCAGCCUUCCAUGUUUCAUUAAUCAAAGAGGAAACUAGGAGCCAAGGUGGUUCCAGAACAGCUACUGAUGAUCAGGGAGAGAAUGUUGUCGUAUCUAGGAGGUUGAUUAAACGAAGUUGUCGUUCAAAGGUUAAUUCAGUGGUUUAACCUGUUACCAGAAGAGGCCGCCCCUAGAAGAUCUCUCUUUCAUUGAAAGGCAGGUUCCAGAUUUUCAGGACUGAUUAUGCUUGAGGACAAUGUUGCACUUCUUGUUAUUUUAAUUCUGCAAUGUCGUUUAUAUCUUUAGCUGUUGUCGUUUGUUUUUUUUUUUUUGUUUAUUGUGUGCUCAUUACGGUGUCGUGGAGAAUAUCUUCCGGUAACGGGCGGAAGUUUAUUAGUCGCACGUGUCGUAAACUUAUGGUUUAUUUAUAAUCAAUUUGUUAUAGUUAUAAGUGCACUCACGAUAAGAGAAUGUCAAUAAAGAGAAAUAAUAAUCUGUUCCUUUA